CUGCUGGGGUAGCUGCUGGGCCAAGAGCACGGAGCCCUGCGUGGGGCAAGCCUGGAGGACUUCCCAGAGGAGUAGCCACCACCUGUGAGGGGGGCGUUCCGUGGGCACACUCACAUCUUGCCCGGGCAGCUUGUGGAGUGGGGGCUUCUCCAGUGGUCAUUUCCCCACUCCGAGACCAGGCAUCUGGAAUUGGACAUCUGGGACCAGCAAGAGGACGUGGCCCACGCCAGGGAACAGGAGGGUCACAUGGAGCAUCUGGGAGACGGGAGACACAUCCACAGGGCUGAACAACGGUCCCCGUCUGUGAGCCAUCUGGUGGGAAGAAACCAGGGCAGACUGGAAGACAGUGCAACGUCUUUAAAAAUUCUGGAGGAAACGAAAUCGUCAACUCAGAAUUGUUUUUCCAGUGAAAAUAUUCUUCCAGAAUGAAGAUGAAAUAAAACUAUUCUCAGAUCAGAGAAAACUGGGAGACUUUGCUGACCUGCAUGAUGAGAAAUGCUAAAGGGAGUGUCCGGGCUGGGAGGCAAGGAGCCCGGGGUGGACGACAGAGCUGCAGGGAGCAGUGAAGAGACUUAUAUGGACUGUUUCGAACAGGGUGACCUAUAGAAAUCGUCCUGGUUGGCCUGGGACUGAGCCGUUUCCUGGGACACAGGACUUUCACGACUAAAACUGGUUCAGCCCCACGCAAACUGGGACAAUUAGUUAUUUCUAGUCCUUUAAGCAACUACUUUGUCCACCUUUCCCUUGGCCAAACAUGAGCCCCUGAAGAGCAAAACCCUCAUCUGUGCUGUGUGUGGGCCCCCGACAGAUGAGAGGACCGGAUGAAGGAGGGAAAGGAAGCAAGCUGUGAAUUAUAAGUACACCACGUUCACAGAAAUAGAAAACAUCCAUGAGAACAAUUGGAAAUGAAGGUGACCGUCUUAGAGCAGAGGGAUGUGGGUGAUUUAAAAACGGUUUCUCUGGGGGCGCCUGGGUGGCUCAGUCUUUUAAGCAUCUGCCUUCAGCUCAGGUCAUGAUCCCUGGGUGCUGGAAUCGAGGCCCCACAUCGGACUGCUUGCUCAGCGGGGGGCCUGCGUCUCCCUCUCCCACUCCCCUUGCUUGUGUUCCCUCUCUCGCUGUGCCUCUCUCUUUGACAAAUAAAUA
Long non-coding RNA from Mustela lutreola (European mink), 1143 nucleotides. RefSeq lists it as uncharacterized. Lineage: Eukaryota; Metazoa; Chordata; Mammalia; Carnivora; Mustelidae. The record is from RefSeq and is a predicted model, not a curated record. The transcript is spliced from 5 exons.